This 386-nucleotide long non-coding RNA is filed under the name Rattus norvegicus (Norway rat). RNAcentral's name for it is "long non-coding RNA NONRATT022523". Lineage: Eukaryota; Metazoa; Chordata; Mammalia; Rodentia; Muridae. The record is from RNAcentral.
CGGCGCGCGCACGGGAAAGGAGGGGCAAAGGUGUACAGAGAGAGCUCGGAAAACACGCUCUUCCACUUCUUGUUUGCUAAUUCUAGUAGUUGGCGAAGCAUCUGGUUCACAAUCGAGAUUUGCAGACUCAAGUGGCCUUUUUAAUGUUUGUGUAAUGAUGGAGAUGGACCCAAAUUAGAAAGUGAUUUCUUCAAUAAAGCAAUAGAAGAUUCUUCAUAUCACUUCUGGAAGCACAGUUCAGUUUUUGGGAAAGAGGAGAACAAGUGAAAUACAGAAAAUUAAUAAGAAGAAAACCUCAUUUUGGAAUUCUCUUUCUCCUUGACCCUUACCUUUUCUACUUAUAAUUUUGCUUUGAAUGUAUAAAUAGUAAAGACCAAAGAAAUAGG